GGGUUGUGAGGUUAAGCGACUAAGCGUACACGGUGGAUGCCCUGGCAGUCAGAGGCGAUGAAGGACGUGCUAAUCUGCGAAAAGCGCCGGCGAGGUGAUAUGAACCUUUGACCCGGCGAUGUCCGAAUGGGGAAACCCAGUGCAAUUCGUUGCACUAUCGUUAACUGAAUACAUAGGUUAACGAGGCGAACCGGGGGAACUGAAACAUCUAAGUACCCCGAGGAAAAGAAAUCA
Molecule: ribosomal RNA, 234 nt
Filed under: Enterobacter hormaechei
Lineage: Bacteria; Pseudomonadati; Pseudomonadota; Gammaproteobacteria; Enterobacterales; Enterobacteriaceae
Description: partial 23S ribosomal RNA
Rfam family: Bacterial large subunit ribosomal RNA
Source: RNAcentral